RNAcentral lists this ribosomal RNA (254 nucleotides) under uncultured bacterium. Its description in RNAcentral is "partial 16S ribosomal RNA". It matches the Rfam family "Bacterial small subunit ribosomal RNA", at positions 524 to 776 of the family's 1533-position model. The record is from RNAcentral.
UACGUAGGCAGCGAGCGUUGUUCGGAGUUACUGGGCGUAAAGGGUGUGUAGGCGGUUGUUUAAGUUUGGUGUGAAAUCUCCCGGCUCAACUGGGAGGGUGCGCCGAAUACUGAAUGACUUCGAGUGCGGGAGAGGAAAGUGGAAUUCCUGGUGUAGCGGUGAAAUGCGCAGAUAUCAGGAAGAACACCCGUGGCUAAGGCGGCUCUCUAGUACGUGACUGACGCUGAGACGCGAAAGCGUGGGGAGCGAACAGG